This 316-nucleotide ribosomal RNA is filed under the name uncultured bacterium. Its description in RNAcentral is "bacterial SSU rRNA". It matches the Rfam family "Bacterial small subunit ribosomal RNA", at positions 28 to 334 of the family's 1533-position model. The record is from RNAcentral.
GACGAACGCUGGCGGCGCGCCUAACACAUGCAAGUCGAACGGAGUUACAUUGAAAGCUUGCUGGAUAUGUAACUUAGUGGCGGACGGGUGAGUAACACGUGAGUAAUCUGCCUUCCAGAGGGGAAUAACGUUUGGAAACGAACGCUAAUACCGCAUAACGUACGGUCCUCACAUGGGGACUGUACCAAAGAUUUUAUCGCUGAAAGAUGAGCUCGCGUCUGAUUAGCUAGUUGGCGGGGUAACGGCCCACCAAGGCGACGAUCAGUAGCCGGACUGAGAGGUUGAACGGCCACAUUGGGACUGAGACACGGCCCAG